ACACAUGCAGUCGACGGUAACAGGAAGCAGCUUGCUGCUUCGCUGACGAGUGGCGGACGGGUGAGUAAUGUCUGGGAAACUGCCUGAUGGAGGGGGAUAACUACUGGAAACGGUAGCUAAUACCGCAUAACGUCGCAAGACCAAAGAGGGGGACCUUCGGGCCUCUUGCCAUCGGAUGUGCCCAGAUGGGAUUAGCUAGUAGGUGGGGUAACGGCUCACCUAGGCGACGAUCCCUAGCUGGUCUGAGAGGAUGACCAGCCACACUGGAACUGAGACACGGUCCAGACUCCUACGGGAGGCAGCAGUGGGGAAUAUUGCACAAUGGGCGCAAGCCUGAUGCAGCCAUGCCGCGUGUAUGAAGAAGGCCUUCGGGUUGUAAAGUACUUUCAGCGGGGAGGAAGGCGAUAAGGUUACUAACCUUGACGAUUGACGUUACCCGCAGAAGAAGCACCGGCUAACUCCGUGCCAGCAGCCGCGGUAAUACGGAGGGUGCAAGCGUUAAUCGGAAUUACUGGGCGUAAAGCGCACGCAGGCGGUCUGUCUAGUCGGAUGUGAAAUCCCCGGGGCUUCAGCCUGGGAACUGCAUUUCGAAACUGGCAGGCUAGAGUCUUUGUAGAGGGGGG
RNAcentral lists this ribosomal RNA (623 nucleotides) under Enterobacter cloacae. RNAcentral describes it as "bacterial SSU rRNA". It matches the Rfam family "Bacterial small subunit ribosomal RNA", at positions 51 to 661 of the family's 1533-position model. The record is from RNAcentral. Lineage: Bacteria; Pseudomonadati; Pseudomonadota; Gammaproteobacteria; Enterobacterales; Enterobacteriaceae.